GGUGUGGGGGGCUCAGCGCGCCCUGGGAAGGAUUUCUGUUGGUUUGAAAUACAGCUCCUUAACAAGUAACUUAUGUUAAUUUGAAAUAUAGUGGUCAAAAAGUUGUUUCACGGCGUUGAACGAAGUGUUUUGCUUUAGUUUCUAGCAGUGUGGGCCUUCUGCUACUGUAUGUCAGUCACAGGAGCCAGAAUUGAGGUCCUGGGCAAGAAGAGCCAGUGGGAGAAGCAAACCAGGAUUCUUCAGCCAUCAGAAAUACUGUGCAGAUCCCGAAUAACGAGCCUUUUGUACAGCCACAGGUUGCAUCAGCUGUGCGGUGCCCGAAAAUGAAGCGGGCUGGUGGGCAGCUUCCCGAGCUGGCAGUGUGACUCAUUGUGUUUGUGCAUCGUGGAUGUCGGAGCAGACAAGAAUUACAAUGGGAAGCGGGUUGUAGGCAGGAGUGAGUCAAAAAUGAGCCUCCCUCCCCUGAUCUAAACACGCAGGGACAGUUCAAAACUUGUCUCAGCUAGAAGUUGCCCUGCUGCAGGAAUUCUUGUUUUGAAUGAAAGAAGCAUUUAUUUAAUUUAGGGGAGGGAUGAUUACUUAAAGCAAUAUAUAAAAAUAUAUUUGAUCCUCUGACUAACUUCACAGUUACUCUAAUGUUGUCUUGCAAGGCUUAGGCCUAAGUCCUUUCUAUCAUCAUUUUAAAGCUAGUUUAAUAUUCAUGGAUCAUAAGAAUGGAUUUGGAGGAUUAAAUGUGCUAUCAGGUUCUGCCUGCAAAACUAGCUGGCUGACAUGUUUUGACAGAAAAAGACCCUGUCUAUACACAGCAUCUCUUUUAUAUUGUUAUAUCUAGAAAAAAUUGUAUUCCAGUUCUGUACCAUGACAAACGUAGAAUUCACAGUACCUGGUAUCUAUGCAGCGGAAAUCUGUGUUGUUUAAUAUACAUUCAGCCUGGGUGCUAUGGAUCUUUUCCAAGCUUGAAGGUAGUUAUGAGCCUGAACAGCUCUUAAGUGAAGAAGCACAUUGGCAAGAGAGACAGAGAUUUCAGGAAGGACAUCAAGCAAAGUGAAGGCAGGAAGCCAAGACCUAAAAGAUAGUAUUAAAUAAAGGAAGAUAGAUAUUUUCUGUGAGCUGAACUCUCUACUCUUGGCAAUGAUUUACGUAAAGGAUAAUUUUUUUCUCCACAUCAAGCAGGAAAGAAUAGGGAAGAAAAUCCACAUGUUGAAACUUAUUUCAACACACAGAGCAGGUAAGUAUAAUUCAUAAGGGAGCACUAACUGUGAACUUAAUUGAACUCUGUCUUAUUUGGGGCCAAGUAAGACAUUCAGGAUUUGCUACAUUUUUUUUUUCUGAAUAAAUUGCACUAUAGGUUUAUUUGAAA
This is a long non-coding RNA of Oxyura jamaicensis (ruddy duck), 1360 nucleotides long. RefSeq lists it as uncharacterized. The transcript is spliced from 2 exons. The record is from RefSeq and is a predicted model, not a curated record. NCBI's taxonomy places the organism in Eukaryota, Metazoa, Chordata, Aves, Anseriformes, Anatidae.